CCGAGUUUACAACUCCCAAACCCCUGUGAACAUACCACUUGUUGCCUCGGCGGAUCAGCCCGCUCCCGGUAAAACGGGACGGCCCGCCAGAGGACUCCUAAACUCUGUUUCUAUAUGUAACUUCUGAGUAAAACCAUAAAUAAAUCA
Molecule: unclassified non-coding RNA, 147 nt
Filed under: soil metagenome
Description: partial internal transcribed spacer 1
Source: RNAcentral